Molecule: long non-coding RNA, 1118 nt
Filed under: Sus scrofa (pig)
Lineage: Eukaryota; Metazoa; Chordata; Mammalia; Artiodactyla; Suidae
Description: lncRNA (ENSSSCG00070029757.1)
Source: RNAcentral
AUUUUUCUGCAAGUAUUUGAUUAAUAUGGGAAUUAUGGUUAUAACAAAGUUUUGCUUACCAAAGAAGAUUGGGGGAGAUAAAUUUGGCACUACUAUAUAUAAAACAAACAACAAGGACCUACUGGGAACUGUAUUCAAUAUCUUUUAAUAACCUAUCAUAGGAAGGAAUGUGAAAAACAGACAUUUACAGGUAUAACUGAAUCCUGUUGUACACUGAAACUCACACUACAUUGUGAAUUAACUAUACUUCAAUUAAAAACAUUUUUAAAGAGGGAGAAUGUGGAAAAAAUUGGGAAUUAUAUUUUCCUCAUAACGUUUGGUUUAUCUUGCUUAGGAACCCUGGGUGGCCUGGACUCUUCUCUGUAGGAAGACUUUGAGCUACUUCUUCAUUUUGUUUUUAAACAAUUUUCCCUGCACAAGGACAAAUAGGUACCUCCCCAGGACUCUCCAUGGCCGGAAGCAGACUGCAAGCGGUCUCGGGUCUCUGGAGAACCCACAUUAAGAUUGGGCCGGGCCGGGCCUGGCGGGGGAGUAAACCACGUGACCACACAGAGCGCCUCAGGGCCGACGCCCCCUCCUCCGGAAGCCGUGUUCUGACGUCGCCAUGCGGCAACUUCCUGCAGGACCUCGACGGAGCCUAUUGCAUUCUGGGACACGCGUGGCUACGCUCGGAUUUUAGAGCGUCGGUGUAGGGCGUGUCUCCCCGCGGUGCCCUGUGUACACGUUCUCCUGCCAGCUCAAACAUCUUUUCCAUUUAUAAAGAGGCGGGGUUCUAUUUCCUGCGAGCAAGGAGUUGCCAGAGGAUGGUGUCAGUUUAGGUACUGCUAAACUUAAUGCAACCAGAUCUGGGGCCUGAGACUAAUUCGAGGCUCACAAGACGGUCUAAGUGCUACUACUUCCUCCCCACAUCCCGGGCUUCCGAAGGAUCACGUGACCGAUGGCUGGCUCAGCUGUCACGUGAUGCGUCGCGUGUCGUUUUUGCGCUGGAGAGUACUAGCUCACGGGGGUACAGAGACGCACACCUGGCCGUCUGUCCCUCUUGGGCUCUGGAGGAGAAGGUGAUGGAGAAACUGGCCGUCAGAGGAGUUAGGACAAAAGUUUUUGCCUGCGUCUGUUGA